Molecule: long non-coding RNA, 3447 nt
Organism: Apis mellifera (honey bee)
Lineage: Eukaryota; Metazoa; Arthropoda; Insecta; Hymenoptera; Apidae
Exons: 5
Source: RefSeq, a predicted model, not a curated record
GUGCAAACCUGUCCUGCACUUAAGACACGCGUGUACGGAUACCGGAAAAGAAAAAUAUACGAAGAAUGAGAUAUGCUUCGCAUUAUAACGAUUCUGACUGUUGCGAACUUUUUUCGAGUUCAAUUGCACUGAUGAUUGAUCAUAUAUCUUGAAAAACAAUCGUUAAUCACUCACAACUAACGAACGCUUAAUAUUUUUGUUUUGUUUUUUAUCUCUUUACCGGAUUUUUAACAAGCUCGAGACAGAAUGUUUUCUACGGAUGCAUAGAAUGUAUAGUAUGGUACUCGUAAAUACAUAAUAUCUCGAGAGACCUUGAAAGUGUUGAACAUUUAAAGUUAAUAAUAAGGUAGAAUUAUUGUCCAAUUAAGUUUCUUAUUAAUAUUGGUAUUUGCAUAUUUUUAGUCGAAGCAGCUUGUUUGAUCGUUGUGCGAAUCUUUAAUCAUCAUAUAACGCGAAAACGAAAUUGGACGCGAGCAUUGCUUGCUGAUUCACUCGAGGACAAAGACACGCGCCGCUACUUGAAUCCUCAUGAUAACGUUUAGCCAUUAAAAAUGCUACUCUCGUAGCUGGAAGUGACCGCAAAGAGGACAAUGUUUGCCAGUCAAGCCGUCAGAUUCCAUACUUGUUAAAUGUACAUACGAAAUUUUAAAGAAGUUUUCAUCGAGUUUUAUCUUGCAAUCUUAUUUAAACAAGAUAAAGAUUAUAAAAUAUCGAGUGAUUUUUCAAGUGGAUCAAUAAUGAAAGAGAUUAAAGAGUAUCGAAACGUUUAACGAUCAUUUAAUAAAUUGUUGAACAUUAUUCAUUGUUUUUAUCUUAUCAUCGGAAAAUAUGUUUCGAUAAAUUUUUGUUACAUGCAUAAGAUCUUGUUGAAAAUCUAAGAAUUUUUUUGAAUUAAAAUUAAAAAAAAAAAUCUGUCAUUCAUUUUAUGGUAGAAAAAUAUAUAUAAAAUAAACAAAUGGAUAAAAUGUGAUAUUCCACAAACAGUUGCAAAUGAUUAUUAAAAUUUAAGAUUAAGCAACAAGAGAAAGAAAGGAAUAAAAAUUUGAUGGAAGAAUAAGUGAAAGAAUGGCACGAACCUUGCGAAGAGGGAAUACGUUCUCCAAAAAAAAUGAGCCGAUCGUUGUGUGGCGAUCGAGGUGUGAAUGGUGGUCGAUUCCAGCGUACUGGCAGCGAUUGAUGAUUGAAAAGCCGCGAGAGCCAGGCCCCUCGACUCUCCACCGCGCUAGGUCGUCCGCGAUGAAUUUUUCAAAGCAUACCACCCGCCUCGUGGGGAGGGCUAACUUGCAUGAAUCUGGUAUUCUGAACGCGGCUGGACGCCCAUAUAUACCUACUCCAUCGUCGCUCCAGGGACCCCUCGGCUCCCGCACCCUACGGGAGGAGGCCCUGUCUCCGACGUCCUUGACCACGAAGAAAACCAUCAUGUACGUACACCAAUUCUCGACCUUACACGCCACGGCAACGACACACCGUUGUCGUGAUUUUGCUUGUGUGCGUGUUGCUGCAUCUCUGCUUGUAUCUCUCUCCAACAGUUGUUCGCGCCUUCUAAUCUCUCCGCAUGCGUAAGGAACAAUCUGGAAACGGCUGCUUUCAUGGAACGCAAUUCAUUAAAAUUGUUUAUAACUUGAAAGAUUGUUUAUACCAUUGGAUUGGAAAGGAAGAAAAUUGAUCAACUUUGUGAUCAAUGAGAGUAUAUAACUUGAUCCUCCAAGUUUUCUGGAAGCAAAAAGCGGUUUGAAAGGAAUUUUAAAAAAAAGUUUGUCCCAUCAAAUUCAAAUUUGAAUAUACAUAUAUAUAUCUGUGCUUUUGUUAUUUUACAAUACUCGAACCGGUUGUCCAAAAAUUCAAAUCGUAUAAAUUUACGAUUUACAACCGGUUCUGGUUUAAUGUAUGGACGAGAUUUUUUUUAAUUAUGUCCAUUAUUACGACACAUUAUAACCAUUUUAAAAACUAUUCCAAAUGAUUGAUGGACAUCUCUCACGAAAUCGUUCGAGGUAUGAAAAUAUAUUCUAUCAUCCUCAAAUUGGCACGAUUGAUUACAUUAUCAAUUUCAAGGGAUAAUACGUAUGCCAUUCUCGUCCCUCUCUUUGACAUACCUUGGCUUCAAUGAUGCUGGAAACCUGUUGGUAUAAAUAUUUCCGCUGAAUGAAAUCCGCAAAUUUAUUAUACAAUAGAGAUCAAGAAUAUGAAGAGAUGAAAUUACCAUGUGUCACGAAAAAAACAUCUUUUUUUUUUUUUUACAAUAAACAUCGGUUCAAAAAUGUACAAUGCACCUCUCAUCGAGGUUUUCUAUUGUAUCCUCGGAGUAAAGACAGGAGAACGACUUUUAUCGUAUUCCAGAGAGAAAUCGAACAAAAAAAGAUAAAACGAGAAAAGGAAAAAAUAGAAUUCGAAAAUAAAGAAUUUUUAAAUUCUAUUAUAUUUUUAUCGUGGAACGAAACUGGAAGAUAACUAAUUAGGAUUUCUUCUCGAAGAACUUGAAUUCGAGAAUUGAUUGCAGCCCGAGGAUCUCUGUAGCAUCCUAUAAAAAAAUAAGGCAAUUUAGUGUAAAAAUGCCGAUGAUUCGCCUUGAACUUGCGACCGGUUAUUUUAUCGACCUGUUUUCUAACAGAGAGAGAGAGAGAGAGAGAGAAAGAGAGGAAAAAAAGAAAAAAGAAAGAAAGAUUGGAGAAGAAGCCCAAACUAAAAAAAACUUUUACAAGUAACAAAUUUUUAAUACUGGAAUCGCGAUUAGAAGAAGGGAAAGAAAGAUAAAAAAAGAAGAAGAAGAAGAAGAAAGACGGGAUGGGACUGGUAUUCAAAUUUAGAAAAAUGUCAAUAGGUGUUUAAUUGUUUCUCAUUCCUCCGAAUGAAUCCAGCGUGAAAGAUCCAGUUUGUGCUCGAGGGCCAACACAGAUUAUUGGCGUGGUAGUCUUUGAGGUUCAUUGGCAUCGGGAAGUCAAAUGUGUUUCGAUACAGGUUGUAUGAGUUUUUCGUACCGUAGAACCUGUUAAAGCGUUUUAAACGGCUAAACGGAAUGCAUAAUUAAAUCAUAUAGCUAUAACUCGUAUAUGACAGACUACUAUACACAAAUAGAUUUAUAUGUGGAAAGGAUAUGUAACAUCAUUACCUGCGACAUAAUCGUGGAAAGAAUGAAUGAAACGAGUGGAAAUGGAGAAGAGGAAAGUCUGGAGGAUAAGCCAACGAUAAAUUUUACUUAAUUUUAUCACGAGCCUUGAUCUAAUAGAAUGAUAUAUCGUGUCGUCCACCAGAAAGAAAAAAAAAACUCAUUAAUGCAUUUUUUUCUUUCCAAAAUUAAUAUUUAAGCGACCGUUCAAAAUUUUCCCAUGGAUGUGUAUGACACGAGAAAGCUAUUAACAGAAAGGUAAUAGAUAAUUCGACAGGCAUAAACGUUGAUUCGUUUCGUUCGUGCCAUGUUUCUAUCAAUCUCCUGUGAUUUAUACAAUGUAC